This 301-nucleotide ribosomal RNA is filed under the name uncultured bacterium. Its description in RNAcentral is "partial 16S ribosomal RNA". It matches the Rfam family "Bacterial small subunit ribosomal RNA", at positions 509 to 807 of the family's 1533-position model. The record is from RNAcentral.
CAGCAGCCACGGUAAUACGGAGGGUGCAAGCGUUAAUCGGAAUUACUGGGCGUAAAGCGCACGCAGGCGGUUUGUUAAGUCAGAUGUGAAAUCCCCGAGCUUAACUUGGGAACUGCAUUUGAAACUGGCAAGCUAGAGUCUUGUAGAGGGGGGUAGAAUUCCAGGUGUAGCGGUGAAAUGCGUAGAGAUCUGGAGGAAUACCGGUGGCGAAGGCGGCCCCCUGGACAAAGACUGACGCUCAGGUGCGAAAGCGUGGGGAGCAAACAGGAUUAGAGACCCCUGUAGUCCCUGUCUCUUAUAC